Molecule: ribosomal RNA, 832 nt
Filed under: uncultured archaeon
Lineage: Archaea
Description: bacterial SSU rRNA
Rfam family: Archaeal small subunit ribosomal RNA
Source: RNAcentral
CGAUUAAGCCAUGCGAGUCAAGGUGUCUUCGGACGCCGGCGUACGGCUCAGUAACACGUAGGUAACCUACCCUCAGGACUGAGAUAACCCCGGGAAACUGGGGCUAAUAUUAGAUAGAUAAAAGGUACUGGAAUGUUCUUUUAUCCAAAGCUUUUGCGCCUGAGGAUGGGCCUGCGUCCGAUUAGGUUGUUGGUGGGGUAAUGGCCCACCAAGCCUGCGAUCGGUACGGGCAGUGAGAGCUGAAGCCCGGAGUUGGGGACUGAGACAAGGCCCCAGGCCCUACGGGGCGCAGCAGGCGCGAAACCUCUGCAAUGCGGGAAACCGUGACAGGGGGAUCCCAAGUGCUCAUGCAUUGCAUGGGCUGUUCUUUGGUCUAAGUAACCAGAGGAGUAAGGGCUGGGCAAGACCGGUGCCAGCCGCCGCGGUAAUACCGGCAGCUCAAGUGGUAGCCGCGAUUAUUGGGCCUAAAGCGUUCGUAGCCGGAUAAGUAAGUCUUUGGUUAAAUCCUACAACUCAACUGUGGGAAAUCUAGGGAUACUACUUGUCUUGAGACCGGGAGAGGUUAGAGGUACUCCUAGGGUAGGGGUGAAAUCCUGUAAUCCUAGGGGGACCACCUGUGGCGAAGGCGUCUAACUGGAACGGGUCUGACGGUGAGGGACGAAACCUAGGGGAGCGAGCCGGAUUAGAUACCCGGGUAGUCCUAGGCGUAAAUGAUGCGAGUUAAGUGUGGGGACAUCUACGAGAUGGCCCUGUGCUGUAGGGUAGCCGUUAAACUCGCCGCCUGGGGAGUACGGUCGCAAGGCUGAAACUUAAAGGAAUUGGCGGGGGAGCA